This 1328-nucleotide long non-coding RNA is filed under the name Chelonoidis abingdonii (Abingdon island giant tortoise). RNAcentral describes it as "lncRNA (ENSCABG00000003599.1)". The record is from RNAcentral. Lineage: Eukaryota; Metazoa; Chordata; Testudines; Testudinidae.
CCCCAGAUGGCGCGCCCCGCUCGGCCGGCUGGCGGGAGCACCCUGAGGGCCGGCGCCGCAAGUUCGACUUUGACUUCCGGGAGCGGGAGGAGGAGCGGGGCGGACGGCGGCACCGGGGCAGCGACAGCUUCGAGGACGACAAGGACGGGCUGCCCGAGUGGUGCAUGGAUGACGAGGACGAGGAGAUGGGCACCUUCGACUCCUCUGGCGCCUUCAUGCCCCUCAAGAAGAGCCCCAAGGAGUCAAUCCCUGAGGAGCAGGUGUUCGACUUCCAUCCGCUGCAGGAAGAUGAUGAGAGGUCGGAAGGGAAGGACGACGCCGAGCCCGGCUCGAAGGAGGCCCCCGAGAAAGAGGCCUGGAAGGAUCCCUCGAUGGCCCCGGAGGAGAAGCGAUGUUCCCCGCCCGGCGCCCCCUGGCUGUCGGGCCCCCCUUUUGCUGCUACUGUUGCCACUGCCACUAGUGAAUGUGAGAGCGCCCCACUGGGGGGCUCAGACCCCGCCGCGCCCCUCGGCACCUGUGACAAGGAGCCGAAGCCCGCUGCGGAAGGUACCAAGCGGACAGGGGGGUGGGGGUGGGGUCCCCCUCCUGUGGCCUGAGCCUGUUAGACUUGGUACAUUCCUGCCCCCACGGGGGGUGGGCUGGUGGUUGUGUCCCCCAUCCCAGGAUGCAUUGCUCCCUUCAGGGCCAAGGGAGCCAAGACGUUAUCACAGCUAGUGUCUUUGUUGCCCCUUUUGGAAGUGGGCGCUACCUGAGUCAGCUGAGAGCCUGCAACAAAAGAUCCCCGCACCACACAGUAGGACGUUCACUCUGAAACCUACUGACCUCAGCGAAAACCAUUCACCUACCUUCACGCCCCCCCCUCAGUGCUUCUCUAGAGCUGAGCGCUGCCUGAUUCUGCGAAGAGCCUGAAACAAUCACUAAUGAAGGGUGUUCACUCUGAAACCUGCUAACGUCUGUCCGACUAUCUGUAUCUGUGGAGAGCCGGAAAGGACAGCUCCCGCAACCAUCAGGAAGGCUACCAAGGCGGGGGUGGUAUUAUGGGGGGGCAGAGAGAUCUGAGCCCCGAUGGGGUGGGGGAAGGGUUAAUGAAUUCAUGUAGUGACCCCCUCCCUCCUUCUCCAGGGGACCCAGGUGUCCUGAGCCUCCCGUCUCAGCUCAGCACGGGCGCGGUCUCCACCCUCUCCUCCCCUUCCUCCACCACCAAUGCUGCUACUGAGUUCUCCAUUGGAGACACUGAGGACGAUGACGGGAUGAAACAUCUUCAGCAGGUGAGCAGGGGAGCCCGGAUGCCUGGGUUCUCUCCCUGGCUCUGGGAGGGGAGGGGGGCU